UUAACUCAAAUUUGUAUGGAGUUGGAAGGUUUGCCUGUGUUUUCCACUAGAGGCGCUGUUCCAACUGCAUACAAAUCAGAGUUA
Bombyx mori (domestic silkworm) is the source of this 84-nucleotide non-coding RNA. The record is from Rfam. NCBI's taxonomy places the organism in Eukaryota, Metazoa, Arthropoda, Insecta, Lepidoptera, Bombycidae.